Molecule: ribosomal RNA, 486 nt
Filed under: Granulicatella adiacens
Lineage: Bacteria; Bacillati; Bacillota; Bacilli; Lactobacillales; Carnobacteriaceae
Description: bacterial SSU rRNA
Rfam family: Bacterial small subunit ribosomal RNA
Source: RNAcentral
GACGAACGCUGGCGGCGUGCCUAAUACAUGCAAGUCGAACGAGAGCGACCGGUGCUUGCACUGGUCAAUCUAGUGGCGAACGGGUGAGUAACACGUGGGUAACCUGCCCAUCAGAGGGGGAUAACAUCCGGAAACGGAUGCUAAAACCGCAUAGGUCUUCGAGCCGCAUGGCUUGAAGAGGAAAAGAGGCGCAAGCUUCUGCUGAUGGAUGGACCCGCGGUGCAUUAGCUAGUUGGUGAGGUAACGACUCACCAAGGCCGUGAUGCAUAGCCGACCUGAGAGGGUGAUCGGCCACAUUGGGACUGAGACACGGCCCAAACUCCUACGGGAGGCAGCAGUAGGGAAUCUUCCGCAAUGGACGCAAGUCUGACGGAGCAACGCCGCGUGAGUGAAGAAGGUUUUCGGAUCGUAAAACUCUGUUGUUAGAGAAGAACAAGUGCUAGAAUAACUGUUAGCGCCUUGACGGUAUCUAACCAGAAAGCCACG